GACGAACGCUGGCGGCGUGCUUAACACAUGCAAGUCGAACGAAGAGCGAUGGAAGCUUGCUUCUAUCAAUCUUAGUGGCGAACGGGUGAGUAACGCGUAAUCAACCUGCCCUUCAGAGGGGGACAACAGUUGGAAACGACUGCUAAUACCGCAUACGAUCUAACCUCGGCAUCGAGGAUAGAUGAAAGGUGGCCUCUACAUGUAAGCUAUCACUGAAGGAGGGGAUUGCGUCUGAUUAGCUAGUUGGAGGGGUAACGGCCCACCAAGGCGAUGAUCAGUAGCCGGUCUGAGAGGAUGAACGGCCACAUUGGGACUGAGACACGGCCCAGACUCCUACGGGAGGCAGCAGUGGGGAAUCUUCCGCAAUGGACGAAAGUCUGACGGAGCAACGCCGCGUGAGUGAGGACGGCCUUCGGGUUGUAAAGCUCUGUUAAUCGGGACGAAAGGCCUUCUUGCGAAUAGUUAGAAGGAUUGACGGUACCGGAAUAGAAAGCCACGGCUAACUACGUG
This 510-nucleotide ribosomal RNA is filed under the name uncultured bacterium. RNAcentral describes it as "partial 16S ribosomal RNA". It matches the Rfam family "Bacterial small subunit ribosomal RNA", at positions 28 to 507 of the family's 1533-position model. The record is from RNAcentral.